This 344-nucleotide long non-coding RNA is filed under the name Trifolium pratense (red clover). RNAcentral describes it as "long non-coding RNA (TPRA_LNC002134)". Lineage: Eukaryota; Viridiplantae; Streptophyta; Magnoliopsida; Fabales; Fabaceae. The record is from RNAcentral.
ACACACAUACAAAUUUAAACCAAUUAUAGAAUUCUAUAAUAAGGGAAUUCACCAACAAAAUAGUCAUUCAAUUGUUGAUUCGAAAAAUAAAGUAUCAAAUAAUAAUCUACAAGAUAAGUAAUAUCAAUGUUUAAACAACAUACAUAAAAAAAAAAAUAUUUAAACAAUAUUUAAAUAGGCACCCAACGCAGCUUUAGGGUCACUUUCAAGCCAAAAUGGUGUCCCAACCGUGGCUCGCAGCUAACUCAAACGCAAGAAUCAAUGCCAUAAAUUCAGUAUGAAGGACAGAAAAGUGAGGAAGUUUAGAAGCAAAACUCCCAAAAUGAUUGCCAUUAUGAUCACGG